Molecule: long non-coding RNA, 926 nt
Filed under: Macaca mulatta (Rhesus monkey)
Lineage: Eukaryota; Metazoa; Chordata; Mammalia; Primates; Cercopithecidae
Description: lncRNA (ENSMMUG00000056132.1)
Source: RNAcentral
GAUUUUGGUUUGCAUAUGAAGUUUUCUUUUGGAAUUCUUGGUGGGAUUUGCACCCUGUUCCUUAGCCAUGUCACAGUGAUUACUGGGAUUUGGGAUCUUAGCCCGGCCGUCACGUGGAUUCUUUCCUGCUCCCUCCUGUGAUUUAAGGAAAGGCUCAGGCGCCUUCCCACGGCCUUUUAGAACUCUGUAUGCGUGCGUUCAAGCAACCCCAGCCGAGCCUCAGGCAGACACAGGCCUGGUCCGUGCAGGUUAAAUCUACAGGAUGAAAUCCAAGCUCCACAUCCAUCCGCACACGUCCCCCUGUCCUGCACCUCAGCCCAGCAGGGCGGCCCCGCCACGGGCCUUGGGGUCUUUCCUUCUUCCUGGGGCUCUCCCCUCCUCCUGCAAAUCCCCCUCCUCCUUCAGAAGCAGCCCCCAGGUGUGGACACAGCACGAUGCCGAGGAUGCCUCUGAGCGCCCACCUUCUUCCGAGACGGACGGGGCACGCAGUGGACACUGGAAGCAUCUGAACUGGUGUGUGAGACGUGUCUCCUUUCUCUCCGCCAAGAGUGAACGCCCUUUGACCAGGCCUUGCGGUGGUUCGGGGAGAGACGUCCAUGAGGCAAGUGUAUCCUGCGAGCCUGGCCCAUCACCCGACCUCUAGGCUUCACAAACUUCAGAUCUGAGCAACACGCAGUUUUGACCCUGUGGCUCCCUCUCCAAGUGACUUCUCCGGGUCCCGCAGAGCAGGCCCAGCAGAUCCCAGGCCAACCUGCGAGGACCCCGGCCUCCCACCCACAGGAGGGUUUUCCUGUGGUCCUAAGCGGCCUCCUUCCAGCACGGCAGGGAGACCUGGGCCUGCAGGGACUUGCCGGGAGAGCCCGGGGCCACCAGGGCCGUCCUGCGAUGGACAUAGCCUCAGGCCUGGCUCCAGCUUCUAGCAGAGU